Molecule: ribosomal RNA, 484 nt
Filed under: uncultured bacterium
Lineage: Bacteria
Description: partial 16S ribosomal RNA
Rfam family: Bacterial small subunit ribosomal RNA
Source: RNAcentral
AUUGAACGCUGGCGGCAUGCUUUACACAUGCAAGUCGAACGGCAGCGCGGGCUUCGGCCUGGCGGCGAGUGGCGAACGGGUGAGUAAUGCAUCGGAACGUGCCCAGUAGUGGGGGAUAGCCCGGCGAAAGCCGGAUUAAUACCGCAUACGACCUGUGGGUGAAAGCGGGGGACCGAAAGGCCUCGCGCUAUUGGAGCGGCCGAUGUCGGAUUAGCUAGUUGGUGGGGUAAAGGCUUACCAAGGCGACGAUCCGUAGCUGGUCUGAGAGGACGACCGGCCAAACUGGGACUGAGACACGGCCCAGACUCCUACGGGAGGCAGCAGUGGGGAAUUUUGGACAAUGGGGGCAACCCUGAUCCAGCCAUGCCGCGUGCGGGAAGAAGGCCUUCGGGUUGUAAACCGCUUUUGUUCGGGAAGAAAUCCUCUGGGCUAAUACCCCGGGGGGAUGACGGUACCGGAAGAAUAAGCACCGGCUAACUACGUG